AACAGGUUAGUUCAGUUGGUAGAGCGCUCCUUCUGCAAUAGAGAAGUCCCGGGUUCGAUACCCGGACCAGGCG
Molecule: transfer RNA, 73 nt
Filed under: Ixodes scapularis (black-legged tick)
Lineage: Eukaryota; Metazoa; Arthropoda; Arachnida; Ixodida; Ixodidae
Rfam family: tRNA
About the family: Transfer RNA (tRNA) molecules are approximately 80 nucleotides in length. Their secondary structure includes four short double-helical elements and three loops (D, anti-codon, and T loops). Further hydrogen bonds mediate the characteristic L-shaped molecular structure. tRNAs have two regions of fundamental functional importance: the anti-codon, which is responsible for specific mRNA codon recognition, and the 3' end, to which the tRNAs corresponding amino acid is attached (by aminoacyl-tRNA synthetases). tRNAs cope with the degeneracy of the genetic code in two manners: having more than one tRNA (with a specific anti-codon) for a particular amino acid; and 'wobble' base-pairing, i.e. permitting non-standard base-pairing at the 3rd anti-codon position.
Source: Rfam by way of RNAcentral